This 253-nucleotide ribosomal RNA is filed under the name uncultured bacterium. RNAcentral describes it as "partial 16S ribosomal RNA". It matches the Rfam family "Bacterial small subunit ribosomal RNA", at positions 524 to 776 of the family's 1533-position model. The record is from RNAcentral.
UACGGAGGGUGCAAGCGUUAUCCGGAUUCACUGGGUUUAAAGGGUGCGUAGGUGGGCAGGUAAGUCAGUGGUGAAAUCUCCGGGCUUAACCCGGAAACUGCCGUUGAUACUAUCUGUCUUGAAUAACGUUGAGGUGAGCGGAAUAUGUCAUGUAGCGGUGAAAUGCUUAGAUAUGACAUAGAACACCGAUUGCGAAGGCAGCUCACUAAACGCUCAUUGACGCUGAGGCACGAAAGCGUGGGGAUCAAACAGG